This 500-nucleotide ribosomal RNA is filed under the name uncultured bacterium. RNAcentral describes it as "bacterial SSU rRNA". It matches the Rfam family "Bacterial small subunit ribosomal RNA", at positions 33 to 507 of the family's 1533-position model. The record is from RNAcentral.
AGGGCUACGCUGGCGGCGUGUCUUAGCCAUGCAAGUCGAGCGGACUUAUGGGGUAACUUAUAAGUCAGCGGCGGACGGCGGAGUAACACGUAGCUAACCUACCCUCUGGACGGGGAUAACCUACCGAAAGGUGGGCUAAUACCCGAUGUAAGUCAUCCUGUAUAGGGGUGAUGAAAGGUGGGCUUCUGUUUACAAGCUCAUGCUGGAGGAGGGGGCUGCGGCCUAUCAGGUAGUUGGUAGGGUAAUAGCCUACCAAGCCGAUGACGGGUAGCCGGCCUGAGAGGGUGACCGGCCCGAGGGGCACUGAGAUACGGGUCCCACUCCUACGGGAGGCAGCAGGCUAGAAAUUUGGGCAAUGGGGGAAACCCUGACCCAGUGACGCCGCGUGCAGGAAGGAGCCCUUCGGGGUGUAAACUGCUGUCGUGUAGGGAGAAGGGUACUAAGGUGAACAAUCUUAGUACUUGACGGUACUACAGGAGGAAGCCCAGGCUAACCUCGUG